RNAcentral lists this ribosomal RNA (551 nucleotides) under uncultured bacterium. RNAcentral describes it as "partial 16S ribosomal RNA". It matches the Rfam family "Bacterial small subunit ribosomal RNA", at positions 355 to 912 of the family's 1533-position model. The record is from RNAcentral.
UGGGGAAUAUUGCACAAUGGGCGAAAGCCUGAUGCAGCGACGCCGCGUGAGGGAUGACGGCCUUCGGGUUGUAAACCUCUUUCAGCAGGGAAGAAGCGAAAGUGACGGUACCUGCAGAAGAAGCGCCGGCUAACUACGUGCCAGCAGCCGCGGUAAUACGUAGGGCGCAAGCGUUGUCCGGAAUUAUUGGGCGUAAAGAGCUCGUAGGCGGUUAGUCGCGUCUGCUGUGAAAACUCGAGGCUCAACCUCGGGCUUGCAGUGGGUACGGGCUGACUAGAGUGCGGUAGGGGUGACUGGAAUUCCUGGUGUAGCGGUGGAAUGCGCAGAUAUCAGGAGGAACACCGAUGGCGAAGGCAGGUCACUGGGCCGCAACUGACGCUGAGGAGCGAAAGCAUGGGGAGCGAACAGGAUUANGAUACCCCUGGUAGUCCAUGCCGUAAAACGUUGGGCACUAGGUGUGGGGUCCAUUCCACGGAUUCCGUGCCGCAGCAAACGCAUUAAGUGCCCCCGCCUGGGGAGUACGGCCGCAAGGCUAAAACUCAAAUGAAUUG